This 497-nucleotide ribosomal RNA is filed under the name uncultured bacterium. RNAcentral describes it as "partial 16S ribosomal RNA". It matches the Rfam family "Bacterial small subunit ribosomal RNA", at positions 28 to 507 of the family's 1533-position model. The record is from RNAcentral.
GAUGAACGCUGGCGGCGUGCCUAAUACAUGCAAGUCGAGCGAACAGACUAGGAGCUUGCUCCUCUGACGUUAGCGGCGGACGGGUGAGUAACACGUGGAUAACCUACCUAUAAGACUGGGAUAACUUCGGGAAACCGGAGCUAAUACCGGAUAAUAUAUUGAACCGCAUGGUUCAAUAGUUAAAGACGGUUUUGCUGUCACUUAUAGAUGGAUCCGCGCCGCAUUAGCUAGUUGGUAAGGUAACGGCUUACCAAGGCGACGAUGCGUAGCCGACCUGAGAGGGGGAUCGGCCACCCUGGAACUGAGACACGGUCCAGACUCCUACGGGAGGCAGCAGUAGGGAAUCUUCCGCAAUGGGCGAAAGCAUGACGGAGCAACGCCGCGUGAGUGAUGAAGGUCUUCGGAUCGUAAAACUCUGUUAUUAGGGAAGAACAAAUGUGUAAGUAACUAUGCACGUCUUGACGGUACCUAAUCAGAAAGCCACGGCUAACUACGUG